Molecule: ribosomal RNA, 253 nt
Filed under: uncultured bacterium
Lineage: Bacteria
Description: partial 16S ribosomal RNA
Rfam family: Bacterial small subunit ribosomal RNA
Source: RNAcentral
UACAGAGGUGGCAAGCGUUGUUCGGAAUUACUGGGCGUAAAGGGCGCGUAGGCGGCCUUCUAAGUCAGACGUGAAAUCCCCCGGCUUAACCUGGGAACUGCGUCUGAUACUGGAGGGCUUGAGUGCGGGAGAGGGAUGUGGAAUUCCAGGUGUAGCGGUGAAAUGCGUAGAUAUCUGGAGGAACACCGGUGGCGAAGGCGACGUCCUGGACCGGCAUUGACGCUGAGGCGCGAAAGCCAGGGGAGCAAACAGG